RNAcentral lists this non-coding RNA (624 nucleotides) under Pan troglodytes (chimpanzee). The record is from RNAcentral. Lineage: Eukaryota; Metazoa; Chordata; Mammalia; Primates; Hominidae.
GGAGCUGGAAAGGUGGAGGCGGAAGUGACUGAUCAAUUCAGGGGCGUGGGGUUCGUUUAGGUUUUGCCCUGUGUAUGACCUCGUUUGGAGCCAUGAAACCAGGUCUGUGAAAUUUAGUGUCUAUUUUCUACCAUAACACAUGUUAAUUUGGACUAACCACAUUUCGAGUGCUCAGUAGCCACAUGUGGCUAGCGACUACUAUCUUGAGCAAUGCAACGAUAAGUCUGCACUUACGUUCAAAAAGACUUAAAGCAGGGAUCGACAACCCCCAGGCCACAGACUGGUAUGGAUCCAUGGCCUAUUAAGAACCGUGCCACACAGCAGGAGGUCACCAUGUGUGAUGACUACAUCCAAAGAGAGUGAGUGGCUUGAGACAUUGGUAGUAUGUGUAUCUGAUCAUAUCAAUAUGUUAAAAUGACAUUCAAAGUAUGAUCUACCUCAGAAUAAUCUAGCCUCAAGCUUUAUUCUAGGAAGGUAAUUCUGAAGAUACCUAUCUUCUUGAGAGUGAAAUUUUAUGGAAUCCUAGAUUUCUCAUACCUAGGAAUAACAAUACAAGGGACAGAAUAGUUAGCAGUGUUCCUGUUGAAAGGUCCAAGUAUCUCCCUAGGCACAGAAAACACCCAA